GACGAACGCUGGCGGCGUGCUUAACACAUGCAAGUCGAACGGAAAGGCCUGCUUUCCCUUGUGGAUUGCGGGUACUCGAGUGGCGAACGGGUGAGUAACACGUGAGUGAUCUGCCCCCAACUUGGGUAUAAGCCUGGGAAACUGGGUCUAAUUCCCGAUAGCACUUCAGGGUGGUGCCUGUGGUGGAAAACGAUUUUCUAGUGGUUGGGGAUGAGCUCGCGGCCUAUCAGCUUGUUGGUGGGGUAAUGGCCUACCAAGGCGGCGACGGGUAGCCGGCCUGGGAGGGUGGACGGACAGAUUGGGAGUGAGAGACGGCCCAGACUCCGACGGGAGGCAGGAGUGGGGAAGAUUGCACAAUGGGCGGAAGCCUGAUGCAGCGACGCCGCGGGGGGGAUGACGGCCUUCGGGUUGUAACCUCCUUUCGAGAGCGAGGAAGCCACCUGGUUGGAAGGGUGGUGACGGUAGUGGGAGAAGAAGCACCGGCUAACUACGUG
This 494-nucleotide ribosomal RNA is filed under the name uncultured bacterium. Its description in RNAcentral is "partial 16S ribosomal RNA". It matches the Rfam family "Bacterial small subunit ribosomal RNA", at positions 28 to 507 of the family's 1533-position model. The record is from RNAcentral.